Small nuclear RNA from Bombina bombina (fire-bellied toad), 120 nucleotides. RefSeq annotates it as U5 spliceosomal RNA. The record is from RefSeq and is a predicted model, not a curated record. The transcript has a single exon. NCBI's taxonomy places the organism in Eukaryota, Metazoa, Chordata, Amphibia, Anura, Bombinatoridae.
AUACUCUGGUUUCUCUUCACAUCGAAUAAAUCUUUCGCCUUUUUCUAAGGAUUUCCAUGGAGAGGAACAUCCAUGAGUUUUUAAUAAUUUUUUAAUCCAACUUCUUUUUUAUUGAGAAUU